AACGAACGCUGGCGGCAGGCCUAACACAUGCAAGUCGAGCGCCCCGCAAGGGGAGCGGCGGACGGGUGAGUAACGCGUGGGAACGUACCCUUUGCUACGGAAUAGCCUCGGGAAACUGGGAGUAAUACCGUAUGUGCCCUUCGGGGGAAAGAUUUAUCGGCAAAGGAUCGGCCCGCGUUGGAUUAGGUAGUUGGUGGGGUAAUGGCCUACCAAGCCGACGAUCCAUAGCUGGUUUGAGAGGAUGAUCAGCCACACUGGGACUGAGACACGGCCCAGACUCCUACGGGAGGCAGCAGUGGGGAAUCUUAGGCAAUGGGCGCAAGCCUGAUCUAGCCAUGCCGCGUGAGCGAUGAAGGCCUUAGGGUUGUAAAGCUCUUUCAGUGGGGAAGAUAAUGACUGUACCCACAGAAGAAGCCCCGGNUAACUCCGUG
This 431-nucleotide ribosomal RNA is filed under the name uncultured bacterium. Its description in RNAcentral is "bacterial SSU rRNA". It matches the Rfam family "Bacterial small subunit ribosomal RNA", at positions 29 to 507 of the family's 1533-position model. The record is from RNAcentral.